GACGAACGCUGGCGGCGUGCUUAACACAUGCAAGUCGAGCGGUAAGGCCCUUUCGGGGUACGACGAGCGGCGAACGGGUGAGUAACACGUGGGUGACCUGCCCUCCAGCUCUGGGAGUAAGCCUCGGGAAACGUAGGGUCGUAAUACUGGAUAUGACUCCACGGUGCAUGUCGUGGGGUGGAAAGCCUUGUGCGGCUGAGGAUGGGCCCGCGGCCUAUCAGCUUGUUGGUGGGGUGAUGGCCUACCAAGGCGACGACGGGUAGCCGGCCUGAGAGGG
RNAcentral lists this ribosomal RNA (277 nucleotides) under uncultured bacterium. Its description in RNAcentral is "partial 16S ribosomal RNA". It matches the Rfam family "Bacterial small subunit ribosomal RNA", at positions 28 to 300 of the family's 1533-position model. The record is from RNAcentral.